AAUGGGGGAAACCCUGAUGCAGCCAUGCCGCGUGUGUGAAGAAGGCCUUCGGGUUGUAAAGCACUUUCAGCGAGGAGGAAAGGGUGGCAGCUAAUACCUGUCAUCUGUGACGUUACUCGCAGAAGAAGCACCGGCUAACUCCGUGCCAGCAGCCGCGGUAAUACGGAGGGUGCAAGCGUUAAUCGGAAUAACUGGGCGUAAAGCGCACGCAGGCGGUUAGAUAAGUCAGAUGUGAAAGCCCCGGGCUCAACCUGGGAACUGCAUUUGAAACUGUCUGACUAGAGUCUUGUAGAGGGGGGUAGAAUUCCAGGUGUAGCGGUGAAAUGCGUAGAGAUCUGGAGGAAUACCGGUGGCGAAGGCGGCCCCCUGGACAGAGACUGACGCUCAGGUGCGAAAGCGUGGGGAGCAAA
Molecule: ribosomal RNA, 410 nt
Filed under: uncultured bacterium
Lineage: Bacteria
Description: bacterial SSU rRNA
Rfam family: Bacterial small subunit ribosomal RNA
Source: RNAcentral